CCUACGGGUGGCAGCAGUGGGGAAUAUUGGACAAUGGGGGGAACCCUGAUCCAGCCAUGCCGCGUGUGUGAAGAAGGCCCUCGGGUUGUAAAGCACUUUCAGUGAGGAAGAACGCCUGGUGGUUAAUACCCAUCAGGAAAGACAUCACUCACAGAAGAAGCACCGGCUAACUCCGUGCCAGCAGCCGCGGUAAUACGGAGGGUGCGAGCGUUAAUCGGAAUUACUGGGCGUAAAGCGCGCGUAGGUGGCUUGAUAAGCCGGUUGUGAAAGCCCCGGGCUCAACCUGGGAACGGCAUCCGGAACUGUCGAGCUAGAGUGCAGGAGAGGAGGGUAGAAUUCCAGGUGUAGCGGUGAAAUGCGUAGAGAUCGGGAGGAAUACCAGUGGCGAAGGCGGCCUUCUGGACUGCCACUGACGCUGAGGUGCGAAAGCGUGGGUAGCAAACAGGAUUAGAUACCCUUGUAGUC
This 465-nucleotide ribosomal RNA is filed under the name Vreelandella stevensii. Its description in RNAcentral is "partial 16S ribosomal RNA". It matches the Rfam family "Bacterial small subunit ribosomal RNA", at positions 338 to 795 of the family's 1533-position model. The record is from RNAcentral. Lineage: Bacteria; Pseudomonadati; Pseudomonadota; Gammaproteobacteria; Oceanospirillales; Halomonadaceae.